This 699-nucleotide long non-coding RNA is filed under the name Rattus norvegicus (Norway rat). Its description in RNAcentral is "long non-coding RNA NONRATT014227". Lineage: Eukaryota; Metazoa; Chordata; Mammalia; Rodentia; Muridae. The record is from RNAcentral.
CCAUAACAGCAUACAUAGAGUAAGAAAUUCAUAGACAUAGGAACUAGAUUUAGGGCUUUGCAGUUAUGCAGGAAGUGACGAGAGACUGUAAAAAGGGUCUGCAGUUAGCAGUUGGCUGUACAACCCUGUGAAUAACCUAACUAAAUUGUAUAGGGAUAAAAUUUGUAAGAUAUGGUCUAAAUACUUUCGGUUGGUUGGUUGGUUUUGUUUUGUUUUUUUUGUUUUGUUUUUCAAGAUAGAAUUUCUCUGUGUAGCCCUGGUUGUCAUUGAACUCACUCUGUAAACCAGGCUGACCUUGAACUGAGAGAUCCCCCUGCUUCUGCCUCCAGAAUGCUGGAAUUAAAGGUGCGCACCACCACUACUGACUUGGUCUUGAAAUCAGUCCUUAAACUGAUCCUGCUGCCCUCUGCUUUCAAGGCUGGAAUAUCAGCCAUCUGCCUCCACAUUGAACACCUUGGCUUUUCUUUAGUUUUAUUUAAGAUCAUUUUUCUCUUCGUGUUUGAAUGCAUGUGUUUUGAGGUUAUGCGUGGUUUAUGGGGUUUUUUUUUGUGCAUAUUUUAGAGGCCAGGGAUCAAUGUCACUUUGGGGCAGAGGGGAAAGAAAAAUUCCUCACUAGCUAGCUGUUAACCUGGGCAGCCUAAUGUUAUUCUUUCAUUAUGUUUUACAUUUUCUUCUUUUUUAGUUAGAACUCUGUGAUUU